Molecule: ribosomal RNA, 420 nt
Filed under: uncultured bacterium
Lineage: Bacteria
Description: bacterial SSU rRNA
Rfam family: Bacterial small subunit ribosomal RNA
Source: RNAcentral
GAGGAAUAUUGGUCAAUGGCCGAGAGGCUGAACCAGCCAAGUCGCGUGAAGGAAGAAGGAUCUAUGGUUUGUAAACUUCUUUUAUAGGGGAAUAAAGUGGAGGACGUGUCCUUUUUUGUAUGUACCCUAUGAAUAAGCAUCGGCUAACUCCGUGCCAGCAGCCGCGGUAAUACGGAGGAUGCGAGCGUUAUCCGGAUUUAUUGGGUUUAAAGGGUGCGUAGGUGGUGAUUUAAGUCAGCGGUGAAAGUUUGUGGCUCAACCAUAAAAUUGCCGUUGAAACUGGGUUACUUGAGUGUGUUUGAGGUAGGCGGAAUGCGUGGUGUAGCGGUGAAAUGCAUAGGUAUCACGCAGAACUCCGACUGCGAAGGCAGCUUACUAAACCAUAACUGACACUGAAGCACGAAAGCGUGGGGAUCAAAC